UACGUAGGGUGCGAGCGUUAAUCGGAAUUACUGGGCGUAAAGGGUGCGCAGGCGGCGUCGCAAGUCAGGCGUGAAAUCCCCGGGCUUAACCUGGGAACUGCACUUGAAACUACGAUGCUGGAGUAUGGCAGAGGGAGGUGGAAUUCCACGUGUAGCGGUGAAAUGCGUAGAUAUCUGGAGGAGCACCGGUGGCGAAGGCGGCAUCCUGGACCAAUAUUGACGCUGAGGAGCGAAAGCCAGGGGAGCAAACGGG
This 253-nucleotide ribosomal RNA is filed under the name uncultured bacterium. RNAcentral's name for it is "partial 16S ribosomal RNA". It matches the Rfam family "Bacterial small subunit ribosomal RNA", at positions 524 to 776 of the family's 1533-position model. The record is from RNAcentral.